Molecule: ribosomal RNA, 500 nt
Filed under: uncultured bacterium
Lineage: Bacteria
Description: partial 16S ribosomal RNA
Rfam family: Bacterial small subunit ribosomal RNA
Source: RNAcentral
AUUGAACGCCGGCGGCAUGCCUUACACAUGCAAGUCGAACGGCAGCACGGGAGCAAUCCUGGUGGCGAGUGGCGAACGGGUGAGUAAAGUAUCGGAACGUGCCCAGUCGUGGGGGAUAACGUAGCGAAAGUUACGCUAAUACCGCAUACGAUCUAUGGAUGAAAGCGGGGGAUCGCAAGACCGCGCGCGAUUGGAGCGGCGGAUAUCAGAUUAGGGAGUUGGUGGGGUAGAGGCUCACCAAGCCGACGAUCUGUAGCUGGUCUGAGAGGACGACCAGCCACACUGGGACUGAGACACGGCCCAGACUCCUACGGGAGGCAGCAGUGGGGAAUUUUGGACAAUGGGCGAAAGCCUGAUCCAGCCAUGCCGCGUGCAGGAUGAAGGCCUUCGGGUUGUAAACUGCUUUUGUACGGAACGAAAAGGUUUGGCCUAAUAAGCUGAGCUCAUGACGGUACCGUAAGAAUAAGCACCGGCUAACUACGUGCCAGCAGCCGCAGUAA